UGGAACGUGUAAUGUAAAACAAAGAGCGGUCAAUUCACACAGUUAAAUACUUGUUCAUGUGAGAAUAUAGAGAGAAUUUUAGAAUCUGGCCAAAGAGUAGAAAUUUUCGACGGAACGACCAAAACUUGUCCAAACUAGCCGGAGAGACAAGAAGAGGUUAUAGGUUUUCUUGAUCUUUAUGUGGGUUCUCCGGCGAUGUCAUUUUCCAUCGGAAGAAGAGCAAUUAUGGCGCUGUUUAUCAUCUCAGUGCUGCAAAUUUGGUUCUACACUGAAAUUAAAGUUGGGGCUAUCAGAAUAUUGCAAGAACGUGCAGCGGUAGAGGAAAAACGGAGACAAACAAUGGAAUCCACCAAAAGUGAAACAGNN
Molecule: long non-coding RNA, 366 nt
Filed under: Olea europaea (common olive)
Lineage: Eukaryota; Viridiplantae; Streptophyta; Magnoliopsida; Lamiales; Oleaceae
Description: long non-coding RNA (OEUR_LNC005456)
Source: RNAcentral